Molecule: ribosomal RNA, 169 nt
Filed under: Oncaea mediterranea
Lineage: Eukaryota; Metazoa; Arthropoda; Copepoda; Poecilostomatoida; Oncaeidae
Description: 5.8S ribosomal RNA
Rfam family: 5.8S ribosomal RNA
About the family: 5.8S ribosomal RNA (5.8S rRNA) is a component of the large subunit of the eukaryotic ribosome. It is transcribed by RNA polymerase I as part of the 45S precursor that also contains 18S and 28S rRNA. Functionally, it is thought that 5.8S rRNA may be involved in ribosome translocation.
Source: RNAcentral
CAACAUUGUACAGUGGAUCACUAGGCUCGGGGGUCGAUGAAGAACGCAGCUAACUGCGCGUCGGAAUGUGAACUGCAGGAUAUAUGAGCAUCGACACUUUGAACGCAUAUUGCGGAACGGCGCUUGUCGUCUUUCCAUGUCUGGCUCAGGGUCGGUUAUACAUCCAUCC